RNAcentral lists this ribosomal RNA (234 nucleotides) under uncultured Actinomycetales bacterium. RNAcentral's name for it is "partial 16S ribosomal RNA". It matches the Rfam family "Bacterial small subunit ribosomal RNA", at positions 96 to 334 of the family's 1533-position model. Lineage: Bacteria; Bacillati; Actinomycetota; Actinomycetes; Actinomycetales. The record is from RNAcentral.
UGGCGAACGGGUGAGUAACACGUGGGUGAUCUGCCCUGCACUUCGGGAUAAGCCUGGGAAACUGGAUCUAAUACCGGAUAGGACGAUGGUUUGGAUGCCAUUGUGGAAAGUUUUUCGGUGUGGGAUGAGCUCGCGGCCUAUCAGCUUGUUGGUGGGGUAAUGGCCUACCAAGGCGUCGACGGGUAGCCGGCCUGAGAGGGUGUACGGCCACAUUGGGACUGAGAUACGGCCCAG